GCACGUGAGGCCGACUGGUGAGGCACCACUCUUACAAAGUGGCUGUAGUGGGUUCGAUUCCCUCCGCGUGCA
RNAcentral lists this transfer RNA (72 nucleotides) under bacterium. Its description in RNAcentral is "tRNA-Val". It matches the Rfam family "tRNA". Rfam says of the family: Transfer RNA (tRNA) molecules are approximately 80 nucleotides in length. Their secondary structure includes four short double-helical elements and three loops (D, anti-codon, and T loops). The record is from RNAcentral.